Molecule: non-coding RNA, 203 nt
Filed under: Desulfobacter sp.
Lineage: Bacteria; Pseudomonadati; Thermodesulfobacteriota; Desulfobacteria; Desulfobacterales; Desulfobacteraceae
Source: RNAcentral
AACUGCUAAGUGCAGAUAGGUGCCUCGAGGUUCGAGGUCAAAAGGGAAUUGGGUUCAAGUCCCAAACGGUCCCGCCACUGUAACCGGAGAGUUGCUUUACAGAUAUCCACUGUUCUUCAAUCCCACUGGGAAAAGGAGGAUGGGAAGGAGUAAAGUCGCUGUGAGACGGAAGUCAGGAAACCUGCCUAUUUGCAAAAGGAAAG